AGUCUUAGUGCCAGGCACCUCUG
Molecule: non-coding RNA, 23 nt
Filed under: Cricetulus griseus (Chinese hamster)
Lineage: Eukaryota; Metazoa; Chordata; Mammalia; Rodentia; Cricetidae
Source: RNAcentral